Long non-coding RNA from Triticum urartu, 1514 nucleotides. RefSeq lists it as uncharacterized. NCBI's taxonomy places the organism in Eukaryota, Viridiplantae, Streptophyta, Magnoliopsida, Poales, Poaceae. The record is from RefSeq and is a predicted model, not a curated record.
CCCAGGUUCAGCCCAACGUGCAAAGCAGGCAGGUCGUCCGGGUCUCUUCAUCUAUCCCCGAGCGGUGGCGCAAUCCCUAUCCCCGAGCUCCUCUGUUCGUCGCCAUCCUUUGUCUCGGUGGUGAGCUUCUGAAGCACGUCUGCUUAGGCAUCGGCACCUUCCACUGCCCCUCUACUCUUCCUCUGCCGGCCCGCAUGGUGGGUUCCUUCUUUACCUUUUUUAUGUCGUUCCUGUAGCGUUCUUCAUGGCAGUUUAGGCGGCCACACGCGCCAUCGACAUCCAUCUCCGAUUGUCUUUCUCCAGUGUCUUCCAACAUGCCAUUUAGCCCUUGCAGCUGUAACGCGCGUCCCUCCCCGUUUCAUACCUGAGAUACCUCUUCGUACGACCCUCCCUGGAUGGCGAAGGAGAUUCGACAGAGCCGAUCAUGACCCAAAGAGAAAAAUCGUAGUUAGUCCCCAGCGCUUGAUCCUUCUUUUACGCCGCAGGAUCAGCAUCCCCUCUCCUUUCGUGCCUGCCCAGCAAGCUCGCUUGAUAAUCUCCAGGGAGGAUGAAGUUGUUGAUUUAUUGUGCUGAUGCGUGAUGAGCAUCUCGAGAGGAUGUAGUUGGAACAGUCGGUGUACUGUUUCUUAUGGCAGAUUCGUUUACUUUGUUCCUCAAUCCUGGAGGGCAAGUUUUAGUAAUUUAUCUUCUAUAAUGGAUAAGAUUAGAAGCUGAACUUGGAACAUUGGAAUUCAUGUACUCCCUCCGUAAAGAAAUAUAAGAGUGUUUAGAUCACUAUUUUAGUGUUCUAAACGCUCUUAUAAAUCUUUACAGAGGGAGUAUUAUGCAUAGUUGUUUACGUGCAUCAGCUUUAUUGGUUAUAUAGGAAUUUACUAUCAGAUUAUGUGGGCUUAUUUUCUUUGUGAAAUUGUUCCUUGAUACUUUAGCAAUCUCCAUGGGAUCAGUUUUAUAAGUUUAGUUUGGUGCUACUAUUUUUUGGCUAUCUGAUCAAAUGCUCAUGUACUUUAAAGAUUUACCAUGUGUGUGUUUUUUGUUCCAGUGCAUUGCAUGUUUUAGUACACUUAAAUUCGUGAUAUGGUUUAUAGCUAGGACAUUAAUUAGGUGGUGCAAGCCAUUUUAUGAGGUCGUUGUUGAUAGCAAUGUUAUGUUCAACUUUGAGAGCCAAUCUUCUUUUAUCCAUAUUCAACUUUUGCUUGUCACAUAUUCAUCUCUUGUUGGGUAAGCUUAUGAGCUGAUCUUACAUUUUGCAGGAUUUUGAUGUUUGUGCUUUCGAGAGGUUCCUUGAUGAUGGCAUCACCUUGCAAGCUGUUACUUUUCAGAGAACACCCAAAACCAUAUCUUUUUUUCUUCUGUUAGCCCUGCUACGGUGCUUUACAUUCAACUAUUUUUCUGCCUCCAAAAUAUUUCUCACAUUAAGUCAGCAAAUUGCCUCGAAGGUACUUAGAAAAUAAUCAUCUUCAUAUUUGAGGCAUUGUACUUUCGAACACUCAUACUUGUUAGAUAUAUUGGUAUCA